CUGCACUGUGGGAUGAGGUAGUAGGUUGUAUAGUUUUAGGGUCAUACCCACCACUGGGAGAUAACUAUACAGUCUACUGUCUUUCCUAAAGAGGCAGAAAA
Anolis carolinensis (green anole) is the source of this 101-nucleotide microRNA precursor. Ensembl annotates it as aca-let-7a. Its record names the gene aca-let-7a. The record is from Ensembl. Lineage: Eukaryota; Metazoa; Chordata; Lepidosauria; Squamata; Anolidae.